GACACGCACAUGCACACACACACAAACACAAGCUAAUAUACUAGGAAAAGAAAAGGAUCACGAAAUGUCAAAGGGACAUGGGAACCAAUCUGAAGGACAUCCCAGCAGCCCAAGUGGAACAAUUUGAGCAACAAAAUAUAUAAUAGAGAAUCGGAUUAUAACCCAAAGUAUGAUAGAAAUACACACGAGUCCAUCCUCAUAAGUGAAUAAUACGGGGAGAAGAGACAAAUCUUCCAGAAGAUUUCCAAAUAAAGGCUAUAGAUACUGCCCCUCUAGGAGGCUGAUCUUAUUCUCCAUCUCCAUUGAGUAGGGGCUAAACUAGUGGCUCACUUCCAAAAACCAGAGGAUAGAAAAAGGAAAAUAACUUUUAGUGGAAAAACUUUGCCAACACUACGCCGGAGCUCAAGGUCAGCAUCACCGGUUGUAAGUUCUGCAGGUACCACGCGCUACUACCUGAUGAGAUCUGGUGUGAUGAGAAAGGCAUUUCACCCCCGCAGUGGCCUCAGAACCCAUGUUCGCAGUCUAAUCCUGAGAAAACAUCAGAUAAGCCCAAAUUGAGGGACAUUCUACAAAAUACCUGACCAUACCCUUCAAAACCCUCAAGGUCAUGAAGAGCAAAGCCAGACAGAAACUGCCACAGAGAAGACCAAGGAAACAGGACAACUAAUUCCAGGGUGUGGGAUUCAGGUUGGAUCUUGGGUAAGAAAAAUAGUAUUAGUGGAGAAAAUGCUGAAAUCUGGAUGAAGGAUGUAAUCGUAUUGAAGAGUGAUGUGCCAGUGUUUUCUUACUUUUGACAAAUGUCCCAUAGUUAGAUAAAAAGUUAACAGUGGGGGAAACUGGGUGCAGGGUUACAGGAGCCAUAUAAUCUUUACAACUUUUCUAUCAGCCUAAAAUAAUUCCCAAAUUAAAAGGGUUCUAAAAUAAAAAGGGAAAUUUUAUAUAGAUUCUUGCUAAUGGUCUUUAGAGCAGUUACUCUUGUUCCAUCUUUCAGAGGGGGGAGAUAUAUUUUUAGUUUUCUAAAGAAAGAAUUUACAAAGCCUUUUUUCUUUUUCUGAGUGAUGUGGGAUCCGACCUCGGGGACCCCAGAAUGAUGAGACCAACGACAAAGUGAAGUAAGGAUCCGACCUUCAUUAAGUACCUGAUGUGCACAGGGCUGGACAAUUUACACACAUCACCUGCCUUGUUUCUCCUAACAGCCUGAUAGAGCAGGAUCCCCAAUUUUCAGAAGAGCAAAUUGAUUCAAACAAUGAUCACCACCUGAAAAUGAUGGCCUCGGGGAGCGGAAUCAGGUGCAGAAUGAUGGGGCCGGGACUGUGACCUUUGUGAGUCUAAGCCUUCCAGGAUUACGGUUAACUUCUGCGUCUAUACCUUUCAUCUGUGUGUGGAGAUUUAAAACUGCCGGGCCGUCCGGUUCCACACGUAGGGAGCUUGGGAGUCACCACUCCAUCCCAGUAACAUGACAAAGCUGACAGACUGAAAAAGCAACGACUCUUCUUGGAGCUGUAGCAGAGCGGAGGACACAGAGCAAACCGCUGGCCCCACGAUACGAGAGCCUCGCGCGUACGAGGAGCCACGGCUCCCACAGCGGAGGCGCAGGAGGGGAAACCUCGCGAGAACCAGUGCCGUCUGGGGCGGCAAACAGGAACUGGGACUGAAGAAUCGCCGCCGGAGGCUCAGCGUGGACGAGUCUGAGAGGUAAAAACUCCAGGGGGUCCGGGUUGUAGGGGAGCCCCCCACACUACACUGAGGGAUUUCUCUCCAGGGUCUUGACCAGAUUCCCACGCUAAAUAGUGGAGCGAGAUCCCCUCGGGUUUCCGGCAGGGCCAGAGGAAAAGGGACCAUUUUGGAAGAAGCCAGAGCACAGUGUUCUUCUUUCCAAGGCCUGCCCUCCGGGAAACUAGGUAACCGGAGCCUAACUGACCCGGGAUGGGAAACCUCCGACUCCAGCCAUCCUGUCCCACCCAAGGGAGGAGAAAAAAAACUGAGAAGCACGUGUGACUUGCACAGCCAGAGGCAGAGGCUCUCGAAAAGACAGAGGCCUAAUCGCAGGACUGCGGAAUGCUGCCCCCCCACCACCCCCGAGCCUCACCCCUGCAUUACUAAGGGCCUAUUUAUGGCAUUUCCUUUACCCAGUACAUCUUGUCCAACUACCAAGAAAAAAUUACAAGGCAUACACCACAAGGCAAAAAAACACACCUGGGAGAGACACAGCAACUCUCAGAACCAGACAUGGCAGGAAUUGUGGAAUUAAUCAGGAGUUUUGGAAUUAGCCGCCCAGGAAUUUAAAACUCUGAUUAAUAUGCUAAGGGCACUAAUGGAUAAAAUCAAGAGCAGGUAAGAACACAUGGACAAUGUAUGCAGAGAGGUGGCGAUCCUGAAAAGAACCAAAAAGAAAUGCUAGAGCUCAAAAAAAACGCUGUAACAGAAAUGAAGAAAUGCUUUUGACGGGCUUAUUAGUAGACUGGACAUAGCUGAGGAAAAACAACCCUGAGCCAGGGGCGAGAGCGACAGAAUCCUCCAACGCCAGAACACAGAGAGAGGAAAGGCUGAAAAAAACCGAGAACAUGAUAUCCAAGGAGGAGGAGAAAGAGGAAAAAAAGAGAAGAAAUAAUUGAAACAAUAGUGACCGAGAAUGUCCCCAAAUGAAUGUCAGGCAUCAAUCCAUAGAUCCAGGUAGCUCAGAGACCACCAAGCAAGAUAAAUGCUACCCCCUAAAAACUACAACUUGCUCCAAUUUGACCCCUAGCCUGGGAACUUCCGUAUGCCGUGGGUGCAGCACAAAAAAGCAAAACAAAAACAAAAACAAACCCUGCAACUUGGCAUAUCAUCUUCAACUUACAAAAAAAUCAAAGAUAAAAAAAUCCUGAAAGAAAUAAGAGGAAAAAACACCUUUCCUGUAGAGAAACAAAUGUAAGAAUCAUAUCGAAAUUCUCCUCAGGAACCAAGCAAGCAAGAAGAGGAUGAACUGAAAUAUUUGAAGUGUUGAGAGAAAAAAACCCACCACCUUAGAGUUCUGUACCCCAAGAAAUAAAGCAUUUCUCAGGCAAACAAAAGUUCAGCGAAUUCAUUGCCAGUAGGCCUUGCAAGAAAUGUUGAGACGGUUUUUUAGAGACAGGGAAAAUGGUACAGGUCGGAAACUGGGAUCUCCAUAAGGAAAGGCAGUGUGUCGAGGAAGGAAGAAAUGAAGGAAAAUCAGGAACUUCGGGGGAUUGAAAACGCCACCUCUCUCGACUUCUUGACUUGUGAAUGCAAAGCAAACAUCAGUGACAUCAGUGAAGGACUAAGGACACAGGAGAAGAGGGAGAAGAGCCUAGCUGGUCCUUAGGACAUCUCCAGGUGAGCUGGGAAUGAACACCUGCUAGUCAUCUAGCCUGAGUCCUGAUUUCAAGCCUGUCAGAUACAUCAGUGGACUCUUCAGGGCUCUGUAGAUAUGAUCACAGACCCUUUGGGUCAGUGAAGAUGCACCAGGAGACAAGAGUCUCCAUCUUGAAUAAAGGGAAAGAGAGAGAGGGAGAGAGAGAGGUUUGACCAAUCAUAGCAAUAAUAAGAAAAAUAGUAAGCCUAGAGUGAGGCAGAGCUUUAUCUUAAACCAUGUGUUUUCAAAUACUCUCUUAUUAGCCUUGUCAGAAUUCCACAAGGUAGCUUGGCCCAGUAGUAUUCCUGUCUGCAUCUCAAGUAUGAAACAGGUUCAAAGAAGUCAGGUCACUUGCUCAAAAGAAAACACCAGGUCACCUAGUCACUGCAUCACACUUGUACCUGGAAGCUGACCUUGGUAGGUGGGAUGGGAAAUUGACAAGGAGUCAUUGUGGGCUCUAGUCAACAAGUUCUAGUUGUAACCAUCCACGAAUGCUAUACCAGUCCCAGUCUCAAUGAUCUCUUCUGCAAAAUUUUGAUAAUGCUGACCUUGCCUACCUCUAUUUCAUGAACCCAGUGGUGGAAUAUUCAAUGACAUAUAGAGUGCACCUACAAAUGGAGAGUUACAAUUAGGAUGUCCAAGCAUUUUUAAAAGAACGAUAUGAUCAUAGGGAACCAGCAUAUAUUAAAGCUCAAGAGUUACCCCUCCCCUUCCCCCCGCCACAUCCAACUUCAUUGCUUUCCUGGAUGAAGUUUCUAGAUAGGUGAACAGGGCCAGAUCCCAUACCUUAUGUGGAUUUCAGGAAGAGCUGAAGCAGAGAGAUAGCUGUUUACAGGAGAGGAGAGAAGGAGAGUCCUGAAACCGUAUGGGCUCGUGAGAGCAGCAGAAAUGGUUGCACUGCCAGGUGUUCCUUGACCUUGAUUUCAAUAUGGCACAAGAACUUGUUCCUUCCCCAUGAGGCAGUUUCUGGGCAUUGAAAUAUGCAGGGGUUGCAUAAUUGCUACAUCUGCUUCUCUUUCUGGGAUUUAAAUGGGCCUCGUUCACAUUACAUUUUGGAAAUCACCCUGUUGACAGGUGCCUGCCCCAGCUGAGCAGCUGAAUCAACCUAGAACUUUGUGUGUGCUAAACAGAUGCUGGCCUUUUUCCACAACAGAAGUUGUUGUUUCCUUGUGGACAACAUACUGAAAUGUGUGCUGGGUAUCAACACAAUCAAGGAUUACCCAGCUGGCUGAAAACAGUCACUCUCAGACAAUGCUGAUCAAUGAGUUGAGGUCAACCUGAAGGAAGAAAGAGUGUCAGAAUCAAUAUUUUUUUCCCUAAGAUGAAUAAAAAUUGAUAGUGUUCAUCAAACCUAGUUGGGAUAGCUAAUAUAUUAGGUAGAAGAAUCAAAACUUAGGAUGAUACAUAUAAGAUGUCAUAUGUUUUAUACAAACAAUAAUUUUAAAGAUCCUCAGGAUGAAAAUUAUAUAGAU
Molecule: non-coding RNA, 4827 nt
Organism: Sus scrofa (pig)
Lineage: Eukaryota; Metazoa; Chordata; Mammalia; Artiodactyla; Suidae
Source: RefSeq, a predicted model, not a curated record